RNAcentral lists this long non-coding RNA (497 nucleotides) under Micromonas pusilla. Its description in RNAcentral is "long non-coding RNA (MPUS_LNC000011)". Lineage: Eukaryota; Viridiplantae; Chlorophyta; Mamiellophyceae; Mamiellales; Mamiellaceae. The record is from RNAcentral.
CCGUCGUCAAUGCGCGUUUGGAUUUGGUGUCGUUGGUCGUCCUCCCGCGCGAUCGCUCCCCGACAGCCGACCGACCCUCGCCCCUCCUCCCGCCGCGACGCGUCUUCUCGACCACCCCAGGGCGCGUUCAUACGCCGAGUGCUGUCCAAGGAUGAGUUCAACGACGUCAGGCACUUCGAAACGUGCUUCCUGCACGCCGUCGGCGGAGACGCGUUCGAGGACAAGAUGGGCGGAAACGCGCACGUCGUCGCCGUCGUGACCGGGCACAACCUCCACGUCCUGAACGUGAACGCGCACGCGAAGAAGCUGUGCACCAUACCGCUGCAGCACGUGCGAGCGAUCGAGGACGCGGGGUCGUACCGCAGAUUCACCGGGUUCAUCAAGAGCCACGACAGCGCGAACAGGCACGGCAGGCGCUAUGUGCUGACGCGCGCGGCGUGGAGCGACGAGGUGCGCGCCGCCGCCGCCGCCGCCGACGACGACGACGGAGAACGCGG